This 1206-nucleotide ribosomal RNA is filed under the name Triticum aestivum (bread wheat). RNAcentral describes it as "partial small subunit ribosomal RNA". The record is from RNAcentral. Lineage: Eukaryota; Viridiplantae; Streptophyta; Magnoliopsida; Poales; Poaceae.
AUGGCGGCCUCCUCCACGUCCACGGCGACGGUGCUCCUCCUGGCGCUCCUCGCGUGCGGCGGCGCCACGGCGCAGGUGUUCCCCCGGCCGCUGUUCCCGCGAGCGCCGUGGAACUUCACGUUCCCCAACGGGCCCGGGGACGCAGCAGGGACCAGCGGCACCGGCGCAACGGGCGGCGGCGGCGGCGGGCCGUCGGUGCCGGCCAUGUUCGUGUUCGGCGACUCCCUGACGGACAACGGCAACAACAACGACCUCACGUCGCUGGCCAAGGCCAACUACCUGCCCUACGGCAUCGACUUCGCCGGCGGGCCCACCGGCCGCUUCUCCAACGGCUACACCAUGGUCGACGCCAUAGCUGAGCUGCUGGGGCUACCCCUGCUGCCGUCUAACAACGAGGCCUCCAACGCCGACAGCGACGCCGGCGCGCUGCAGGGCGUGAACUACGCCUCCGCCGCCGCCGGGAUCCUGGACAACACGGGCCAGAACUUCGUGGGGCGCAUCCCGUUCAACCAGCAGAUCAAGAACUUCCAGACGACGCUGAACCAGAUCAAGGGGAAGAUCGGCGCCGGCAAGCUGGCCUCCUCGCUGGGCCGCAGCAUCUUCUACGUGGGCAUGGGCAGCAACGACUACCUCAACAACUACCUGAUGCCCAACUACAACACCCGCAACGAGUACAACGGCGACCAGUACUCCACGCUCCUCGUGCAGCACUACACCAAGCAGCUCACCAGCCUGUACAACCUGGGCGCCCGGAGGUUCGUGAUCGCGGGGGUGGGGUCGAUGGCGUGCAUCCCCAACAUGCGCGCGCGGAACCCGACCAACAUGUGCUCGCCGGACGUGGACGAGCUCAUCGCGCCCUUCAACAGCAAGGUGAAGGGCAUGGUGGACACCCUGAACACCAACCUCCCGCGCGCCAAGCUCAUCUACAUCGACAACUUCGAGAUGAUCUCCGAGGUGCUCCGGAGCCCCUUUAACUACGGCUUCAGCGUGGUGGACCGCGGGUGCUGCGGGAUCGGCCGGAACCGCGGGGUCAUCACCUGCCUGCCCUUCCUCCGCCCCUGCCCCAACCGCAACACCUACAUCUUCUGGGACGCCUUCCACCCCACCGAGAGGGUCAACGUGCUCCUCGGCAAGGCCGCAUACUCCGGCGGCACCGACCUCGCCUACCCCAUGAACAUCCAGCAGCUCGCCGCGUGGCAGCCGUAG